Molecule: long non-coding RNA, 1403 nt
Filed under: Sorghum bicolor (sorghum)
Lineage: Eukaryota; Viridiplantae; Streptophyta; Magnoliopsida; Poales; Poaceae
Description: long non-coding RNA (SBIC_LNC001603)
Source: RNAcentral
CAAGCCCGUGGAGGACAAGAUCAUGGAGAUCGCCACGCUCGAGAAGUUCCUGCAGGAGCGCAUCAAGGUCGCCGGCGGCAAGGCUGGCAACCUUGGCGAGGGCGUCACCGUCACCCGCGACAAGACCAAGGUCACCGUCACCUCCGAUGGGCCUUUCUCCAAGAGGUAUAUAAGCACACAGCAUGCUAGUUAAUCCCGCUGAGAUCCACGCAUGCAUAUUUCUUUCUGGGUGCUGAUUUUUGGACAUACCACUACUGAUUCGUCGAGCUGUAUGUGUUCUUAUCGGUUCCGUAGGGGAUGAACUGGUCAAUCUGCAGGAUUAGGUAUUUGAUUUCAUUUUUGAGUUGCAGCUAGUGAAUCAUUCUGUGAUUAUGCAGUAAAUAAAAUUAAGUUUGCUUAGGACACAUUACUUUUUGAACUUGUUACUGGCUUACAGUUUUAUUAGCACAUUACUGUACCGCAGGUGCAUACCUGUGAUUAUGCAGUAAAUAUAAUUAAGUUUGCUUAGGACAUAACAUUUUGAACUUGUUACUGGCUUGACAGUUUUAUUAGCACAUUGCUGUACCAAAGCUGCACACCCUUCAUAUUAUCUGUCGAGGAGAUAUAUCAUAUUAUCUGUCGACGAGAUAUUUCAUGAGAUGCAAGCAAGAUGAUAGACGAACAUAAGCUUACUUUACACGCGUUGUCUAAUGCAAUUUUCAUGUUUAUUCAUGCUGUUUGAUUGUAUCGACUAGUUUCUUUCUUGAGCUGUUUUAGUGGUAUUUUGUUCACGGCUGAAACUUAUUGUACUUCAUUGUUUGUUCAGUUCACCAGUUGUUUGCUUGCAUCAGUUACUGGGUUGUUUACUCAAAUAGUGUGUAUCAAGUUGUUGCCUUAAACGGCUAGUUUGAGCGGCUUAACUGUGAUGUGCCUCCUGUGAAAACAAGUUCUUAGUUAAGUUUCUGAAACAUUGUUGCUCCAUUCUCAGGUACCUGAAGUACUUGACAAAGAAGUACCUGAAGAAGCACAAUGUGCGUGACUGGCUCCGGGUUAUCGCGUCAAACAAGGACCGCAGCGUCUAUGAGCUCCGGUACUUCAAUAUUGCUGAGAACGAGGGUGAGGAGGAGGAUUAGACGCACCACCUUAUCUGUGUCUUGUGAACUUUGGAUGUGUUGGAACACUCAUGCUUGUAGCCUUUGAAGGGAUGAGUUUUGAUGUUUAAAAUUGGUCUUAUGAUGUUUUUAUAAGCGUGCUGGAACUUCUCAUGUGAUGCUUAGAUAAUCGAGUCGAAGAAUUGUUGUUCUUGCUUCAGCCUCUGUAAGGAUGACCGUGGGCAUUGAGUGUUUAUGAGCGUCUAUAGAACUGACUAUUUAGCUGCAGGUAUUCAUUUAUUGGAGUCAUUUCCCAUCGCUUUGGUGAUGCUA